AUGUGACAUAAUCAGAUGCACUUUUUGUAUGAUGACAAACUUAUCUGGAUUGGACCAAGUGGUGUUAUUUGAGUUUCGACCGUCGGAUUUAGGAUAUAUAUCAUUGACAUGUGUUUGUCGUCAUUCAACGUGACCACAACCCGAACGUGAUCGGGUCUUUUAGAGGAGUGAAGAGGACAGUGGAGGCGACGAGGAAGCCGAGCAUCAGGCCCACCACCACCACGCACGCCAUCACGGAACCAAAGCGCCACCAGCUCAUCACCAGGAGGACGCCGCCCACCACGCCGAUCACCGCCGACACGGCCAGACGGACUGUGACAGAGUGAAAAGGUUUCAUUUCCUACCAAGAGUUUGGCAGCUGUCCAUCUUGGAGUUGAAAGUGCAGGCAUACGUGUGCACCGGGACGUAAGAGGCCGACGUGUUGAGGACGGGGUCUCGAACGACGACGGAGUAGAUG
Long non-coding RNA from Nerophis lumbriciformis (worm pipefish), 457 nucleotides. RefSeq lists it as uncharacterized. NCBI's taxonomy places the organism in Eukaryota, Metazoa, Chordata, Actinopteri, Syngnathiformes, Syngnathidae. The record is from RefSeq and is a predicted model, not a curated record.